UAGUCAGUCAUCAUAUGUGUCAAGCAGAACUAUUUAAGGCUCCACUGCCUUCAAAAUCAGAUCACCAAGUUUUGUAUCUUCAAGCCAACUUUGAAUGGUAGUUGCAAAUCACUUCUUUUAGGAACACUCUUGGGGAAAUCGAGCAUUUGAUGAUGUUAACUUACAUUCUGACAAAUACAGGUCAUUGUCUUCAUUUUCAGUCUUCAGCAACCCAACCAUCAUGAUUCACUUCACCAUUGGAUUGCACAACUGCCACUUCACUAUUAUCCUCUUUUGCAAGGAAAUGGGGAUCCACAAACAUUGAAGACACAUUCUGUGAGAGAGUAGUUUCUAAAUCUGGAUUGGCAUGGUCAGUAGCUGAAAUGGAAUGGAAGUCCUGAUCUCCAACCAUUGAAGAGGGGAGAGACUGUGAACUUCUAAUAACCCUCUACUGAUUUUGCUGACUACUUGCAGUUUUCACUGAAGACAUGGAACUACCCUGAACAGGAUAGGACUCCUCAUUAAGAGAUGCUAGUCGGCAAAAGAACUCAAAAUUAGAGGCAGACAACAAGAUGGCUCAAAAAGAACAUAAAUGUUCCUACAGUUGACAGCAACAAGGUAUUUUAGUAACUGAAAUAUCACCUUUCCCAGAAGUUAAUUGAUCAAACCAUUUGCGAUUCAAAAUAUGAAUGUGACCCCAUCUUUUAGCAACCUUGUAUUUAUCUUCUGGAGCUUACAGCCAGUCAAGGGCAUCGUAGUGGGACUCACAGUGCUACAGAGCAUCAUGUAUGAGGCCAAUAGAAAGAUUCAAUGGUAAUAACAUUGCUGAGCAAUGUGCUUUGAGCAACCAACAGGCAGUCCUAACUCACAUUGGAAAAGCGAGAACUGGCUGAGGAUCUUUUAACAAUUGGCAGUUCAAAUUGUAGGUUCUUUAACACCUUGUUUCCUUGAACCACAGAACACAAUUCUUUAGGACUGAUUUAGAAGUCAAAGAUAUUCUCAUGCCGGGAAGUUUCACUGUUUCUCAUAUGAGUAAUCAAAUUCCCAAGUAAAAGGAUAAUACCAAAAACCAGGAUUAAAUCAAGUAUAGCUAUUUCCUAUUUCAAACUAUAAUCGUCACUAAACCUUGAAAUGAUACAGAUUUUUCUUUUCAAACUCUUAAAGGUGUUUUCAUAGGCGAAGACAAGAUAAAGAUAUGUGCAUUUUCAAACGGCGAUCUGAUAUCAAAGGGAAAAUAUGCAAGCAAAUCACUGGACUUUAAUCUUGAAGAAGAAAAAGUUAUUUCUGCAAUUAAAUGAGUGCACUUCCUGGUCAAUUCUGCAGAAUAUUUCCCACCAUUUUGUGUGAUAUGCUUCUGAAUCUCCUUUUGUGCAUUUAAGAUAAUGAAGGACAUCAAAAUUGAAGAACUGGAGGACAACCAACAGCAGCAGCUAUAUCAAAUAAUCAGUAUGUGCAGGAAUUCCUGUGACACAUACAUUGUCGAUCCAGAAAAUGGAAGAACUCUGUAAGACUCCUGAGGUACAACACGGUGCACAACACAACAUUGGUAUAACCAAUUAAUGGCGACAACAGGUUUCUUCAGAACAUUUAAAGCCCACUGCAUGAUGACAACAUUAAUUGAUAAAUACAAUUUAUCUUUCAAGAUGAAAUUCAUAAAAGACUUUGCACACGGAAUAUUCAAAAAAAUAUGGAGGAAACUCUUCUUUAGUUCAGCCAACUCAAUGAGAGUACUACCCACAAUACUUCCCAUACUUAGUGAAAAAGCAUAAUGAAUCUCAUUUAAGGUGAUUUAACCUUAACAAGAUACAACAAAUUCGCAACUCUUAAACUAAAUUCAAAUUAUUAACUCCAAGACUUAAACCUUGCAUUUUGCAGCCAAAAUAUUAUUUGCAAUUACGAAGCUAACAUUGCUGAAGUUUUGGUCUUAGAACUCCCCCCGUUGAACUAACCAAUUUCUCA
This 1938-nucleotide long non-coding RNA is filed under the name Eucalyptus grandis. Its description in RNAcentral is "long non-coding RNA (EGRA_LNC007364)". Lineage: Eukaryota; Viridiplantae; Streptophyta; Magnoliopsida; Myrtales; Myrtaceae. The record is from RNAcentral.